GAUGAACGCUGGCGGUGUGCCUAAUACAUGCAAGUCGAGCGAACAGACGAGGAGCUUUCUCCUCUGACGUUAGCGGCGGACGGGCGAGUAACACGUGGAUAACCUACUUAUAAGACUGGGAUAACUUCGGGAAACCGGAGCUAAUACUGGAUAAUAUAUCGAACGGCAUGGAUCAAUAGUGAAUGACGGUUUUGCUGUUACAUAUAGAUGGAUCCGCGCCGCAUUAGCUAGUUGGUAAGGUAACGGCUUACCAAGGCAACGAUGCGUAGCCGACCUGAGAGGGUGAUCGGCCACACUGGAACUGAGACACGGUCCAAGACCCUACGGGAGGGAGCAGUAGGGAAUCUUCCGCAAUGGGCGGAAGCCUUGCGGCAGCCCGCCGCGUGAGUGAUAAAGGUCUUCGGAGCUUAAAACCCUGUUUUUAGGGAAAAACAAGUGUGUAGGUAACUCUGCGCGUCUCGGCGGUACCUAAUCGGAUAAGCACGGCUAACUACGGG
RNAcentral lists this ribosomal RNA (497 nucleotides) under uncultured bacterium. Its description in RNAcentral is "partial 16S ribosomal RNA". It matches the Rfam family "Bacterial small subunit ribosomal RNA", at positions 28 to 507 of the family's 1533-position model. The record is from RNAcentral.